RNAcentral lists this ribosomal RNA (468 nucleotides) under uncultured bacterium. Its description in RNAcentral is "partial 16S ribosomal RNA". It matches the Rfam family "Bacterial small subunit ribosomal RNA", at positions 28 to 507 of the family's 1533-position model. The record is from RNAcentral.
GGCGAACGCUGGCGGCGUGCUUAACACAUGCAAGUCGAACGGAAAGGCCCUGCUUUUGUGGGGUGCUCGAGUGGCGAACGGGUGAGUAACACGUGAGUAACCUGCCCUUGACUUUGGGAUAACUUCAGGAAACUGGGGCUAAUACCGGAUAGGAGCUCCUGCUGCAUGGUGGGGGUUGGAAAGUUUCGGCGGUUGGGGAUGGACUCGCGGCUUAUCAGCUUGUUGGUGGGGUAGUGGCUUACCAAGGCUUUGACGGGUAGCCGGCCUGAGAGGGUGACCGGCCACAUUGGGACUGAGAUACAGCCCAGACUCCUACGGGAGGCAGCAGUGGGGAAUAUUGCACAAUGGGCGGAAGCCUGAUGCAGCAACGCCGCGUGCGGGAUGACGGCCUUCGGGUUGUAAACCGCUUUCGCCUGUGACGAAGCGUGAGUGACGGUAAUGGGUAAAGAAGCACCGGCUAACUACGUG